RNAcentral lists this ribosomal RNA (481 nucleotides) under uncultured bacterium. Its description in RNAcentral is "partial 16S ribosomal RNA". It matches the Rfam family "Bacterial small subunit ribosomal RNA", at positions 30 to 507 of the family's 1533-position model. The record is from RNAcentral.
UUGCACGCUGGCGGCAUGCUUUACACAUGCCCGUCGAACGGUAACAGGCCGCAAGGUGCUGACGAGUGGCGAACGGGUGAGUAAUGCAUCGGAACGUGCCCAGUCGUGGGGGAUAACUACUCGAAAGAGUAGCUAAUACCGCAUACGAUCUAUGGAUGAAAGCGGGGGACCGUAAGGCCUCGCGCGAUUGGAGCGGCCGAUGUCAGAUUAGGUAGUUGGUGGGGUAAAGGCUCACCAAGCCAACGAUCUGUAGCUGGUCUGAGAGGACGACCAGCCACACUGGGACUGAGACACGGCCCAGACUCCUACGGGAGGCAGCAGUGGGGAAUUUUGGACAAUGGGCGCAAGCCUGAUCCAGCAAUGCCGCGUGCAGGAAGAAGGCCUUCGGGUUGUAAACUGCUUUUGUACGGAACGAAACGGCUCUGGUUAAUACCCGGGGCUAAUGACGGUACCGUAAGAAUAAGCACCGGCUAACUACGUG